Caerostris extrusa is the source of this 110-nucleotide non-coding RNA. The record is from the annotation of a GenBank genome assembly. Lineage: Eukaryota; Metazoa; Arthropoda; Arachnida; Araneae; Araneidae.
UGACGGCCAUACCAUGCUGAAUAUGCUGUUCUCGUUAGAUCACCGAAGUCAAGCAUCAUUGGGCGCGGUCAGUACUUGGGUGGGUGACCACCUGGGAACACCGCGUGCCG